GUUUAACAAAAACAUGUCUUCUUGAUAAUAUUUUGAAGUCUUACCUGCUCAAUGAUUAAAUUUAAAUGGCCGCGGUAUUAUGACCGUGCAAAGGUAGCAUAAUCAUUAGUUUCUUAAUUGGAGACUGGAAUGAAUGGUUUGACGAGAAAUUGACUGUCUCUUAAUAAUUUUUAGAAUUUAACUUUUAAGUUAAAAGGCUUAAAUAUUUCUUUUGGACGAGAAGACCCUAUAGAGCUUUACAUUUAUAAAUUAAUUUUUAUUAUAUAGAUGAUUUCUUAAUAUUAAUUUGUUUUGUUUGGUUGGGGUGACUUGAAGAAUAAAUAAACUCUUCAUUAUUAAAUCAUUGAUUUAUGUUUAUUUGAUCCAUAAUUUUUGAUUAUAAGAUUAAGUUACCUUAGGGAUAACAGCGUAAUCAUUUUUGAGAGUUCUUAUUGAUAAAGUGGAUUGCGACCUCGAUGUUGGAUUAAGAUUAAUUACGGGUGUAGUGGCUUGAUAAUUAGGUCUGUUCGACCUUUAAAUUCUUACGUGAUC
This 531-nucleotide ribosomal RNA is filed under the name Oedaleus asiaticus. RNAcentral describes it as "16S ribosomal RNA". It matches the Rfam family "Bacterial large subunit ribosomal RNA", at positions 1802 to 2605 of the family's 2925-position model. Lineage: Eukaryota; Metazoa; Arthropoda; Insecta; Orthoptera; Acrididae. The record is from RNAcentral.